This is a non-coding RNA of Caretta caretta (loggerhead turtle), 942 nucleotides long. NCBI's taxonomy places the organism in Eukaryota, Metazoa, Chordata, Testudines, Cheloniidae. The record is from RefSeq and is a predicted model, not a curated record.
ACAAGCUUCUUCACCCUGCCCCCACUGGGUGGGGGGUGGGGGGCAGAGAAGAGCAGGCCGGGGCAGGCAGGACUUUUAAUGGCACGCUGCUGCCUGGGCGGCUGGGACCCUGGCAGGCAGCAGCGUGCCAUCUUUGGUAUGCAUGCCAUUGGUUGCCGACCCCUGAUAUAGGGGAAGCACUUAGAGUGUAGUGGGGUAGUAUCUGUCCCCUCUGAGUGUGUAUCCCAUGGGUAGCUCGAGAAGAGUGGAAGGAUUUAGUCUCUUGCAGACUGGUGGACCUGUGUUAUUGUUGAACACUCUUCUCUCGAAUUAGCUUCUACGGUCAGUCUGGGUCUUUGGCUGAAGAGUGAGCAUGGGCUGAAUGGAGAUCAUGAGCAAGGGAACUCUGGCUUCUAGACCCUUCUGCCGAGCCAGGGGAGGCCCUGGACCAGGAGAAACCUGACCUGGAGGAAGGACUGGGGCUACCAGGACUGCCAGCUGCCGAGUACUCGGAGGAACUAGAGGAGCCAGGCAAUAACCUGGACCAGCGUGAGCCUGACGCAGAGGAGGAGCUGGAGCUGCCAGCAGCUGAAUACCCUGACGAGCUGGAGGGACCAGAGGGACCCGCUUGAGAGACCAGGUGACCAUGAAUGAUAUCAUUUUCCUGAGGCUAACACAGAAAGAUAAAGACCGAAUGUUGCUUGAAUGCGACCAAAACCCAGGACCUUUCGCUGCCAUGCUUUGUGCUGCAAUGAUUCCAGACUACUUGCUACUGGCUUGGCAUGGUAAAGUGUCCUACCGUGGAGGAUGAAAUAAGGCAGCCCUCCCCAGAAACCUUCUGCAAAGGCUUUCAGAGUACCUCCAGAAGAGCGUCAUGGAGAUGUCCCUGGAGGAUUCCUGCUCCAUCCCCAGACACGUUAACAGACUUUUCCAGUAGCUGUACUGGCCACGAAUGCAUCCCAA